UACGGAGGAUGCAAGCGUUAUCCGGAUUCAUUGGGUUUAAAGGGUGCGCAGGCGGAAUGAUAAGUCAGUGGUGAAAUCCAACAGCUUAACUGUUGAACUGCCAUUGAUACUGUUGUUCUAGAGUAUAGUUGGAGUGGGCGGAAUGUGUCAUGUAGCGGUGAAAUGCUUAGAUAUGACACAGAACACCGAUCGCGAAGGCAGCUCGCUAAGCUAUAACUGACGCUCAUGCACGAAAGCGUGGGGAUCAAACAGG
RNAcentral lists this ribosomal RNA (253 nucleotides) under uncultured bacterium. RNAcentral describes it as "partial 16S ribosomal RNA". It matches the Rfam family "Bacterial small subunit ribosomal RNA", at positions 524 to 776 of the family's 1533-position model. The record is from RNAcentral.